This 406-nucleotide ribosomal RNA is filed under the name uncultured bacterium. Its description in RNAcentral is "partial 16S ribosomal RNA". It matches the Rfam family "Bacterial small subunit ribosomal RNA", at positions 30 to 526 of the family's 1533-position model. The record is from RNAcentral.
AUUGAACGCUGGCGGCAGGCUUAACACAUGCAAGUCGAACGCGUGGCGGACGGGUGUGUAAUGUCUGGGAAACUGCCCGAUGGAGGGGGAUAUCCACUGGAAACGGUAGCUAAUACCGCAUACCAUCGGAUGUGCCCAGAUGGGAUUAGCUAGUAGGUGGGGUAACGGCUCCCCUAGGCGACGAUCCCUAGCUGGUCUGAGAGGAUGACCAGCCACACUGGGACUGAGACACGGCCCAGACUCCUACGGGAGGCAGCAGUGGGGAAUAUUGCGCAAUGGGGGCAACCCGGACGCAGCCAUGCCGCGUGAAUGAAGAAGGCCUUCGGGUUGUAAAGUUCUUUCGGUAGCGAGGCGUUAACUACAGAAGAAGCACCGGCUAACUCCGUGCCAGCAGCCGCGGUAAUAC